AGACAACAGGGAUUGCCCCAGUAACGGCGAGUGAAGCGGCAACAGCUCAAAUUUGAAAUCUGGCCUCGGCCCGAGUUGUAAUUUGUAGAGGAUGCUUUUGGUGAGGUGCCUUCUGAGUUCCCUGGAACGGGACGCCAGAGAGGGUGAGAGCCCCGUAUAGUUGGACACCGAGCCUCUGUAAAGCUCCUUCGACGAGUCGAGUAGUUUGGGAAUGCUGCUCAAAAUGGGAGGUAUAUCUCUUCUAAAGCUAAAUACUGGCCAGAGACCGAUAGCGCACAAGUAGAGUGAUCGAAAGAUGAAAAGCACUUUGAAAAGAGGGUUAAAUAGUACGUGAAAUUGUUGAAAGGGAAGCGCUUGUGACCAGACUUGUGCCGGGCUGAUCAUCCAGUGUUCUCACUGGUGCACUCUGCCCGGCUCAGGCCAGCGUCGGUUCUCGCAGGGGGACAAAAGCUUCGGGAACGUGGCUCCUCCGGGAGUGUUAUAGCCCGCUGCUCAAUACCCUUGUGGGGACCGAGGUUCGCGCUCUGCAAGGACGCUGGCAUAAUGGUCAUCAGCGGCCCGUCUUGAAACACGGACCAAGGAGUCGAGGUUUUGCGCGAGUGUUUGGGUGUAAAACCCGCACGCGUAAUGAAAGUGAACGUAGGUGAGAGCUUCGGCGCAUCAUCGACCGAUCCUGAUGUAUUCGGAUGGAUUUGAGUAAGAGCGUAUAGCCUCGGACCCGAAAGAUGGUGAACUAUGCCUGAAUAGGGUGAAGCCAGAGGAAACUCUGGUGGAGGCUCGCAGCGGUUCUGACGUGCAAAUCGAUCGUCAAAUUUGGGCAUGGGGGCGAAAGACUAAUCGAACCAUCUAGUAGCUGGUUACCGCCGAAGUCCCCCUCAGAUAAAAAGC
RNAcentral lists this ribosomal RNA (888 nucleotides) under Coniochaeta taeniospora. Its description in RNAcentral is "partial large subunit ribosomal RNA". It matches the Rfam family "Eukaryotic large subunit ribosomal RNA", at positions 63 to 985 of the family's 3401-position model. Lineage: Eukaryota; Fungi; Ascomycota; Sordariomycetes; Coniochaetales; Coniochaetaceae. The record is from RNAcentral.